RNAcentral lists this ribosomal RNA (493 nucleotides) under marine sediment bacterium ISA-1178. RNAcentral describes it as "bacterial SSU rRNA". It matches the Rfam family "Bacterial small subunit ribosomal RNA", at positions 37 to 512 of the family's 1533-position model. The record is from RNAcentral.
UGGCGGCGUGCCUAAUACAUGCAAGUCGAGCGAAUGAUGAGGAGCUUGCUCCUCUGAUUUAGCGGCGGACGGGUGAGUAACACGUGGGUAAUCUGCCUGUAAGACGGGGAUAACUCCGGGAAACCGGGGCUAAUACCGGAUAAUAAGAGAAGAAGCAUGUCUCCUUUUUGAAAGUCGGCAUCUCGCUGACACUUACAGAUGAGCCCGCGGCGCAUUAGCUAGUUGGUGAGGUAACGGCUCACCAAGGCGACGAUGCGUAGCCGACCUGAGAGGGUGAUCGGCCACACUGGGACUGAGACACGGCCCAGACUCCUACGGGAGGCAGCAGUAGGGAAUCUUCGGCAAUGGGCGAAAGCCUGACCGAGCAACGCCGCGUGAGCGAUGAAGGCCUUCGGGUCGUAAAGCUCUGUUGUUAGAGAAGAACAAGUACGAGAGUAACUGCUCGUACCUUGACGGUACCUAACCAGAAAGCCACGGCUAACUACGUGCCAGC